This is a long non-coding RNA of Neofelis nebulosa (Clouded leopard), 1886 nucleotides long. RefSeq lists it as uncharacterized. Lineage: Eukaryota; Metazoa; Chordata; Mammalia; Carnivora; Felidae. The transcript is spliced from 2 exons. The record is from RefSeq and is a predicted model, not a curated record.
CGGAAGCAGGUUCCAGGCUCUGAGCUGUCAGCACAGAGCCCGAUGCGGGGCUCGAACUCACGAACCCUGAGAUCGUGACCUGAGCUGAAGUCGGUCGCUCAACCGACUGAGCCACCCAGGUGCCCCUGUUGUUUAUUUAUUUUUGACAGAGAGACCACGAGCAAGGGAGGGGCAGAGAGAGAGGGAGACACAGAAUCCGAAACAGGCUCCAGGCUCUGAGCUGUCAGCACAGAGCCCGACACGGGGCUCAAACCCACGAGCUGUGAGAUCGUGACCUGAGCCCAAGUUGGAUACGCAACCGACUGAGCCAUCCGGGCGCCCGGUCCCUUCCUCUUUUCCAUCCUACGGUCCUCCUGCUUGAGCUGUCUCCACUGUCCCCUCUCACCCCACCCCUAAUGGCUUACCUCCCCAGGCUGUCAUCUCUCCGAUUUCAUGCCAUCUGUCACCCAAGCAGGUGCCUCUGUGAGGACUGUGUGUCCUGGGGUUAGCACGUUGCUGGUAUUCAGGACACAGAACAUGGAGCCACGUGGCUGCAUCCUCAGAGGCUGUUCGUUGGGUGUCACAAGACCGAGGAGGUAAAAUAAACCUUUCACACCCCAAAUGUGACUGAAACCGGUAAGCAAACAAGAUCAUGGUUUACAACGCCAGGCUUUCUUGGGUACGAUUAUCAGGUCUCUGGAGAGGAUGGGAGCCAGCCUGCCUGAGGGAUGGGCGAGAAUUGUGCCAACCUAAGUCUGGCUUGGAUGGUCAGAGCUGCACUGGUGUCCUUUGAGCUCAUUUCCUCCCCUCACCCGUGCACAAAGUUUUGGGGACCCUACAGACCUCUCUCUUGUCCUACAGGCUAUAGAAACACCGGGCUGCAGCAAAAUAAUCCUAGUUUGCAUCUAUCCUCCGAGGGUGAAGAACAAUCAACAUGUAGUAAAUGUGAUGGUGAUGGGCCACCUGCAUAAUGGCCCGUCACAGUUGGACACGGGAGAGUGGAGAGUUCUGGGGACCCCAGAUCCCAAUUAGAGAUUGCCAUCUGGUAGUUUCGUUAAGCAUAGCACAUCCCUUGUGUCAGUGUUUAUAAGCUCACGGCCUCGUUGUGCACACUCAAUCUGGCAAAAGAAGGAAUCCUUUGAUAAAGGAGGGGUGAUCAUCACAGGACGGACAAAGGAGGGCUGCGGAAUCAGAGUUUAGGGGCCCAGGGUGCCCUGGCCAACUGAUAGGGCAUUUGCCCUUGGUGGAAUGAAGUCAUCGGGUUAUUAUUGUUCCGUAACCAACUUCCUGCCUAUUUUUGGCUACCCACACAGAUAGCCACUGCACUAACCAGGUUAACUUGGUUUGACAUUUAUCAUCAUAUACAAGAGCCAACUGUCGUCCCGGCACAUCCACCUCAGUCCAUUGUGAGUUAGGUCUCCGUGUGAGUCUCAGCCUGGUAGUGACCCUCUGGGUACACGGACCACAUCAGGUUCAUUCACUCCCUGAGUCUGGAUCACCUCAUGGACUGGGCAGCACAAGCUUCCAAACCACUCCUCUCCGACCUCUCCUGCUGCCUCCUCCUCAAACACGGGCGACAUUACGGGACUAUCUUGUUCAGGAAUGCUUUACGUGGACCAAGCCAAACUCCUUGGCCGGGCUUUCCUGGUCUUUCGUAAUUUGGCCUCAUCAUGCUUUGUUUUUCAUGACAGCCCAAAAUGUUCUCUGUUGGUCUCCCAGGUUACUCAGCGUGGCUCUCCCACCGAUGGCUCCUGCCCGUUCUCCUCUGCCCGCAAGUCCUGCCGCUACACCUCUUCCGAACGCGGCUCCAGCCCUUUAGCCCAUCCCGUCCUCUCCAGCCCUCCCCAAAUCGCCGGAGAGGACGGGAGACAAGGUCCUUGAAAUAAAGGCUUCCUGACUCUCCCGCA